This 130-nucleotide small nuclear RNA is filed under the name Zalophus californianus (California sea lion). RNAcentral's name for it is "U2 spliceosomal RNA (ENSZCAG00015010311.1)". It matches the Rfam family "U2 spliceosomal RNA". Rfam says of the family: U2 is a small nuclear RNA (snRNA) component of the spliceosome (involved in pre-mRNA splicing). Complementary binding between U2 snRNA (in an area lying towards the 5' end but 3' to hairpin I) and the branchpoint sequence (BPS) of the intron results the bulging out of an unpaired adenosine, on the BPS, which initiates a nucleophilic attack at the intronic 5' splice site, thus starting the first of two transesterification reactions that mediate splicing. The record is from RNAcentral. RNAcentral also lists the same sequence under 1 other name. Lineage: Eukaryota; Metazoa; Chordata; Mammalia; Carnivora; Otariidae.
AUCACUUCUCAGCCUUUUGGCUAAGAUCAAGUGAAAUAAUUUCAAACUUACAGAACAUAAGUUAUUAUUUUUUUUAAAGAUUUUGAGUAUCUCUAUACCCAAUAUGUGGGGCUCAAACUCACAACCCUGA